Salmo salar (Atlantic salmon) is the source of this 57-nucleotide non-coding RNA. Lineage: Eukaryota; Metazoa; Chordata; Actinopteri; Salmoniformes; Salmonidae. The record is from Rfam.
AGCUCAGUUGGCAGAGCAUGGCACUUAUAAUGCCAGGGUUGUGGGUUCCAUUCCCAC